Molecule: long non-coding RNA, 2349 nt
Filed under: Ananas comosus (pineapple)
Lineage: Eukaryota; Viridiplantae; Streptophyta; Magnoliopsida; Poales; Bromeliaceae
Description: long non-coding RNA (ACOM_LNC019661)
Source: RNAcentral
GAGAGAGAGGGGUCCACGGAGAGGUCCACUGUGGACCUCUGUCAUGCGGUCCACGAGGUGGUGGACCUCAUGCACCGCGUGAAGCAACUCUCCAAACGCCGCGAUUUUUCAGUCGGAAGUUUUCAUUUUCGCUCGAAGUGAGCGGAGAACGAAAACUCCCCGUUUUCGUCGAAUAUGUAAAAAAAGUUUUCCAAAAUUUUUUUUUUAUGCGUCACCAAACGGCAGAAAAUAACUUUUCAACAGAAAUUUUUUUUUCCGGGUUGUUUUACAAGUAUCCAAAUACACCUUUAGUGAAUCUUUGGUUUAAUUACACUAAUAGCUAGCCCUUGGACAUUUGCUAAAGUCUCACUUUUGCCCUAUUCUUUAAUGCAGACUUAAUUAAUGCUCCUUGAACUUCUAAUAAUGUCCCGAAUUGGCCCGUUUUCAUUAUCUAAUGUUAAGUUUGUUGACAGAAUGAUGAUGUAUAAACAUUAAGGAGAUGUUUGAUUUUUUCGAAAAGUAUUUCAGUAAAUAGUUUUCUGGCUGGGAUAAUAUUUUUCAUCCGUUUUUAAAAUGAGUUUUACUCUCAAAAUUUUUCGUAACUUGUAAGUUUUAACUGGUAACCUUAGUGCGCGCAUUGAUUUAAAAAUGGCUUAUCCAGCAUUCAAAUUGUAUUUUUGCCAGUAAAAUCAGUGUCAGAUGACAAAAUGGAUCAAUUUAAUUAUAGAAGUUUAGAAAGCAAAGUGAAACUUUUCUUUGAGUUCAAAAGCUACUGUUACUAUUAACCUGUUUAUAUUUUUUUUAAAGAGAAAUUCUAAAUAUAUAAUUCAGAAAGUUUCAUAGGAUCAGGGCAUAUAUGGAAAACUCUUUUUGGGUUUUAACAAUAAAAAAUAUAUAUAUAUUGGGCCUUUUUUGUAUUUGACCCCCUCAAAAAAAAAAUUUCACAAAUAAUUUUGGCCCUAUCCCCGUCACGCAGACAAGUUGAACACGGUGAACCAUUCACCGUGUUCAAAUAUGAUGAAUGGUUCACUGUGUUCCAUACUUAUAUUCUUUCCAUUCAAUACUUAUAUUUUUUCACAAUACAUAUAUUUUUCUCAGACAUAGUAAAUCAUUUAUCAUAUUUAUACACAAUAAAUGGAUUAUUGUCACGCCCCGAACCCGAUCCUAUUUGGCCGGUUCGAGAGCGUGAUACAGACGCCGAGCGGACAGAGCCUCCCUUAUCCGCCCAAGGCCCAACAACAGGUACAGAUAGAGUGUAGACAUUGCAUAAGCGGAAGUAUACACAAUGGCUUGCACGAGGGUAAGCAAUAGCCAAGAGUGAAAGUAAACAACAACACUUAAGGAAUCGAUUACAUUUUUCAUCAUUUCUUUUCUUUUACAUCACAAGAUCUCAAAUAUCAUUCUUGCAUUUAAAUAUAAAGGUCUUUCACAACAUACAUGUUCUUUUCUUUAACAACUAAAUCAUCAAGUACAAAAGAUGACAUAUAUCAAAAGGGGUAUGCAACUAAAUAGAUAAAUGUCUCGGGCGGUCUCUACCUAGGACGCGAUGCCCUUACCGCGAUCGUCUGCCGGCUCGCUGGGUCCCGGCUCUGUGGAAAUAGGGGUGUGAGAACUACAACAAAGUUCCCAGUGGGUUCGGCAACCAACCACGCCGACUAUCCUACUAGGUCUAAUCAGGCAUAAUAGAAUAAAGGAAAGUAAGUAACCAACUAGCAAAUGCACUAAUAUGCCUGAACAAUAUAAAAUGAUAUGCACAAUAUAAUACUCAUGAUGAAUGCAAGGUCAUAGUGUCAAUACCCAAUCUCUUGGCUAACCCGUAGGUUUCGCCCUCAACAAACUCACCAACUCAAAAUCCCAAUAAUCGGGGAGAUACCCGCUACAACCCGAUGGGACCGCCCUCUGGGGAGAUACUCGCUACAACCCAGUGAUGUCGACUCCGGAGCACAUCGCCCGAGGGGGAGCUACCACAACCUCGAGCAAGGACUAAUGUGAGUACGAUCAAAUCCUACAUUUGAGGAUUCCAAAUUCAAUCCAUUCCUUAACUUUAAGAAAGACUAUGCUCAAAUGACUCUUAACACUAAGGUUGAAUGUCAUAAUAUCUCGGUCGUUCUUGUUCUUGCAUUCUUUUCUAUCACCAAUGUCAUAUACACUAUCAAGUUCUUGUACUCAUACCACACUUGUUUACUAAGUGUUCUAGACUCAUCAAUGUCACUUGCUAAAUCUAUGUCAAAGUGUCACUUUUCGUUUACUAACCCUUCUAGGUUCUUGUCACAAUCAUGCAUACAUAGGGAUCAUCAUUCUCACAUUCUUACAUACAUUUAACAUGCAUUUGAGUUUACAUUAGACUAUAUAAAAGAACUCACAAUUAAC